Non-coding RNA from Podarcis lilfordi (Lilford's wall lizard), 73 nucleotides. Lineage: Eukaryota; Metazoa; Chordata; Lepidosauria; Squamata; Lacertidae. The record is from the annotation of a GenBank genome assembly.
GUUGGGAUGGUUCACUUGGAAAAGCAUGAGAGUCUUAAUCUCAGAGUCAUGGGUUCAAGCCCCAUGCUGGGCA